CAACCCUCAAGCCCGCUGCGCGCUUGCUGUUGGGGGCCGGCUCACCCGCCUCGCGGCGGCGGCCGCCCCCGAAAUGAAUCGGCGGUCUCGUCGCAGCCUCCUUUGCGUAGUAACACACCACCUCGCAACCGGGAGCGCGGCGCGGCCACUGCCGUAAAACGCCCAACUUUCUCCAAGAG
RNAcentral lists this unclassified non-coding RNA (179 nucleotides) under Neotyphodium sp. 'BAFC 2200'. RNAcentral's name for it is "ITS2". Lineage: Eukaryota; Fungi; Ascomycota; Sordariomycetes; Hypocreales; Clavicipitaceae. RNAcentral also lists the same sequence under 4 other names. The record is from RNAcentral.